GGCAGUAGCUCAGUCGGUAGAGCAUUAGCUUCCCAAGCUGAGGGUCGCGGGUUCGAGUCCCGUUUGCC
RNAcentral lists this transfer RNA (68 nucleotides) under chicken gut metagenome. It matches the Rfam family "tRNA". From Rfam's summary of the family: Transfer RNA (tRNA) molecules are approximately 80 nucleotides in length. Their secondary structure includes four short double-helical elements and three loops (D, anti-codon, and T loops). The record is from RNAcentral.